UGAUUUUUGUAUAUAUUUCAGCAUACAAAAUUAAUGGGAGAUCUAAGAGCAUGCCUUUUGAUCCCUAGAUGCAAAAGGAUCAUAACGAGGUUAAGUCAUUGUAGACACAGAGGAUAAUCUCAUGGAAAAUCCUCAUGCCACUCUAUGCAUAUGAUCAGAGGAUAAUCAUAAUAAAAGAAAAUCCCCCCAUAUCACAUUGUAAGAGCUCGUUGCCUUUUCUCUCUCUCGUUUUCACUCUCUGUAUUUUCUAAUAUGUUCUACGUAUUUUUUUUUUAUCUCUCACACACUUGUAUUUUAGAUAGAGUAGGUGUGCUUAUAUAGAAGCUAAAAAGAGUGAUUGAAGUUAACCAAAAGACUUCGUAACUCUUAAGUCCAAUUAGACUUACAACAAUCAUAUGGAACUCUAUCUAAAAGAGGCUUCUAGAUGUUCUUUAUAUUGGACAAGGAGCCAUGCCCGGGAAAAAUUUCCAAUUCAGUAGCAAAGUAGGCAAUGAAUUCAGCUUGUCCUUUUAUAAACCUUAUCCUGACAACUUCUCCUUUGUGGUCAUCUAAUUUGGAGACUAUUCACCAUAGUACAUGUCUUUCUCUAAAUGAGAAUAAUCUUUCUCUUAUCUUUGUCGGGUUUUAAUAAAG
This 633-nucleotide long non-coding RNA is filed under the name Citrus sinensis (sweet orange). RNAcentral describes it as "long non-coding RNA (CSIN_LNC004315)". The record is from RNAcentral. Lineage: Eukaryota; Viridiplantae; Streptophyta; Magnoliopsida; Sapindales; Rutaceae.